RNAcentral lists this ribosomal RNA (305 nucleotides) under uncultured bacterium. Its description in RNAcentral is "bacterial SSU rRNA". It matches the Rfam family "Bacterial small subunit ribosomal RNA", at positions 333 to 655 of the family's 1533-position model. The record is from RNAcentral.
GUUUUCCUACGGGAGGCAGCAGUGGGGAAUAUUGCACAAUGGGGGAAACCCUGAUGCAGCGACGCCGCGUGAGAGAAGAAGUAUUUCGGUAUGUAAAGCUCUAUCAGCAGGGAAGAAAAUGACGGUACCUGACUAAGAAGCCCCGGCUAACUACGUGCCAGCAGCCGCGGAAAUACGUAGGGGGCAAGCGUUAUCCGGAUUUACUGGGUAUAAAGGGAGCGUAGACGGUGAUGCAAGUCAGAAGUGAAAGCCCGCGGCUCAACUGCGGGACAGCUUUUGAAACUGUAUGACUAGAGGGCAGGAGG